This 1029-nucleotide long non-coding RNA is filed under the name Bemisia tabaci. Its description in RNAcentral is "lncRNA ENSSWEETPG004782". Lineage: Eukaryota; Metazoa; Arthropoda; Insecta; Hemiptera; Aleyrodidae. The record is from RNAcentral.
AAACAGAUGUGGAGAGAUGGUAACCGAAUAUUUUUCCGCACCUCUGUUGUCGAAAACAACAGUAUUGUUUUAACAGGUGGAUUCAUGGAUCUGACAGAAGUCACUGCUGCUUCAAAAGUAGUCUUGAAAGCAGCUGCGGCUGAUGAAAGUUUACCCAGUGAUGCAGUGUUUACUGGCAUGCAAGAAAGAAUUGACAGUGACAAGGAGUGUGUAAAAAAAUCAUGCCGUUUUUGUAUACAAUAUCACCAAGGAUAAAAACGUUGUUGCAACUUGGACCUGUGAUCUGAAACAAGGGAAAGUAUAUAAAGGACUUCCAGUAGGUGGUGCGAAGCUGAUACAACCCUCACCGUUGAUGAUGAAGAUAUGAUCGACAUUGUGAGUGCUGUUUUUUGACCUUUCUUAGAAAAGUAAAAUGAGCUGCUUGUAUCGAUCAAGUGUGCACCAAAAAUUUGUAACUCAGCCUUUGUUUUAUUUUUUUUCCAAAAUUUAGGUAACCUCAGCACAUUUUUUAUUUUCUCAUCACUCUUCUUUUGUCCUUGCUCAUAUUUUAAUUUGCAGUAUGUUGAUACGUUCCAUGCUAACAAGUUUUAGCGUAAUUGUCUCUGCCAGGUCAGAAAAAAUGUGCAAAAAAAAAGUAGUAAAAUUGGAAUGCUUCAAACUUUGGCCUCCUCUGAUUACUGCAAGAGGGCUAAGUAACGACAGCGGCUAACAGACAAUUUAAGCGAAAAUGAGUUGGUGAUUUUCCUGCAUCUUACAGCACUAAAUACGCAAGCCAGGGUGUCUACCAGUCCGUAAAGUCCGGAAAAAGUACGCAUUUUUUAAGGUUGGUCCGUAAGUACCUUAAAAGUACGUAAAUCUCGUGGAAGGUCCGUAUUUUUCGCAUUUUGCGCUGCGCGUUCAGUUCGAUCGCCUGAUAGUUAUGCAACCCUCUCUGCGUUGUCCGUCAGGCGUAUUAGUACAAUGUCAACGUAAGAGCGCGGUUGUUGUAGAGGAGCAGAACCAUAGAUUAGUCCAGAUCCGCCGGAAGAG